AGCGAACGCUGGCGGCAGGCUUAACACAUGCAAGUCGAGCGGGCCCUUCGGGGUCAGCGGCGGACGGGUGAGUAACGCGUGGGAACGUGCCUUCUGGUUCGGAAUAACCCUGGGAGACUAGGGCUAAUACCGGAUACGCCCUUUUGGGGAAAGGUUUACUGCCGGAAGAUCGGCCCGCGUCUGAUUAGCUAGUUGGUGGGGUAACGGCCUACCAAGGCGACGAUCAGUAGCUGGUCUGAGAGGAUGAUCAGCCACACUGGGACUGAGACACGGCCCAGACUCCUACGGGAGGCAGCAGUGGGGAAUAUUGGACAAUGGGCGCAAGCCUGAUCCAGCCAUGCCGCGUGAGUGAUGAAGGCCUUAGGGUUGUAAAGCUCUUUUAUCCGGGACGAUAAUGACGGUACCGGAGGAAUAAGCCCCGGCUAACUUCGUGCCAGCAGCCGCGGUAAUACGAAGGGGGCUAGCGUUGCUCGGAAUCACUGGGCGUAAAGGGCGCGUAGGCGGCGUUUUAAGUCGGGGGUGAAAGCCUGUGGCUCAACCACAGAAUGGCCUUCGAUACUGGGACGCUUGAGUAUGGUAGAGGUUGGUGGAACUGCGAGUGUAGAGGUGAGAUUCGUAGAUAUUCGCAAGAACACCGGUGGCGAAGGCGGCCAACUGGACCAUUACUGACGCUGAGGCGCGAAGCGUGGGGAGCAAAC
RNAcentral lists this ribosomal RNA (698 nucleotides) under uncultured Alphaproteobacteria bacterium. RNAcentral's name for it is "bacterial SSU rRNA". It matches the Rfam family "Bacterial small subunit ribosomal RNA", at positions 28 to 773 of the family's 1533-position model. The record is from RNAcentral. Lineage: Bacteria; Pseudomonadati; Pseudomonadota; Alphaproteobacteria.